CAUGGGUUUAUGGUGUAUUCCAUCUCUUGCACACUGGACCAGUAAAUUUCGGCCACUUCAGCACUGGUUGGUGUGCAAGUGAUGGAAUACAUCAUUGAUCUAUG
RNAcentral lists this microRNA precursor (104 nucleotides) under Manihot esculenta (cassava). Its description in RNAcentral is "miR2950 stem-loop (mes-MIR2950)". It matches the Rfam family "MIR2950 microRNA precursor family". The record is from miRBase by way of RNAcentral. Lineage: Eukaryota; Viridiplantae; Streptophyta; Magnoliopsida; Malpighiales; Euphorbiaceae.